CGGGGGUCCACGGACCCCCGGCCUGACCCCGGUACCUCAUACGGCCGGGGCGG
Streptosporangium subroseum is the source of this 53-nucleotide non-coding RNA. The record is from Rfam. NCBI's taxonomy places the organism in Bacteria, Bacillati, Actinomycetota, Actinomycetes, Streptosporangiales, Streptosporangiaceae.